Molecule: transfer RNA, 70 nt
Filed under: Sphaerodactylus townsendi
Lineage: Eukaryota; Metazoa; Chordata; Lepidosauria; Squamata; Sphaerodactylidae
Description: tRNA-Ala
Source: RNAcentral
ACCCAUGGUUCAGUGGGAGAGCACCUGCUUGGCAUGCAGAAGGUACCAGGUUCAAUUCCCAGCAGCUCCA